This is a long non-coding RNA of Scomber japonicus (chub mackerel), 261 nucleotides long. RefSeq lists it as uncharacterized. NCBI's taxonomy places the organism in Eukaryota, Metazoa, Chordata, Actinopteri, Scombriformes, Scombridae. The record is from RefSeq and is a predicted model, not a curated record. The transcript is spliced from 3 exons.
CUGACACGAUCAAAGUCAAAGAUUCAAGAAAGAAAGUCUUAAAAGCUGUAAAAACACUGACUAUCUGUGACUCUUUGUUCAUAUUAUAUAUUUGGUGAGACAGGAUCUGCAGAAACAGCAGUUUUUUAUUUCACUUCCUCUUCACUGUGGCGCAGAUGUUUUCUCCGUGUGCAGUUUGCCGAAGCUACAAAGUCUCUGUGACUGGAUGUGAAUUCAGCAGCUGAACAUCUUCCAUGUUGUAGUGAGUGAGUGCAGCUCUCC